RNAcentral lists this ribosomal RNA (481 nucleotides) under uncultured bacterium. RNAcentral describes it as "bacterial SSU rRNA". It matches the Rfam family "Bacterial small subunit ribosomal RNA", at positions 28 to 509 of the family's 1533-position model. The record is from RNAcentral.
GACGAACGCUGGCGGCGUGCUUAAUACAUGCAAGUCAACUUGACUUUAGAUAGCAAUAUCGAAAAGUAGGGUGGCGCACGGGUGCGUAACGCGUAGGUAAUCUGCCCUGAGGUCUGACAUAACCCGUCGAAAGGCGGCUAACAUCAGAUGAUAUAUAAUCACGACAUCGUGGAAAAUAUCAAAUCUUCGGAGCCUUGGGAUGAGCCUGCGUCUGAUUAGGUAGUUGGCGGAGUAAUAGCCCACCAAGCCUACGAUCAGUAGCUGGUCUGAGAGGAUGAUCAGCCACACUGGAACUGAGACACGGUCCAGACUCCUACGGGAGGCAGCAGUAAGGAAUAUUGCUCAAUGGGGAAACCCUGAAGCAGCAACGCCGCGUGAAGGAUGAAAUACUUUGUAUGUAAACUUCUGUAAGAUGGGAAAAAUAUUACUCCUCGGGAGAAUUGAUUGUACCAUCAGAGUAAGCCCCGGCUAACUACGUGCC